GUGUGACCUAAGUGGUUAAAGCAUCUGCCUUGAAUGCAGGAGGUCACAGGUUUAAACCCCAGCAGAGCCA
Molecule: non-coding RNA, 70 nt
Organism: Potamilus streckersoni
Lineage: Eukaryota; Metazoa; Mollusca; Bivalvia; Unionida; Unionidae
Source: the annotation of a GenBank genome assembly